RNAcentral lists this long non-coding RNA (12035 nucleotides) under Nicotiana benthamiana. Its description in RNAcentral is "long non-coding RNA (NBEN_LNC040523)". Lineage: Eukaryota; Viridiplantae; Streptophyta; Magnoliopsida; Solanales; Solanaceae. The record is from RNAcentral.
UUUAAUCCAACGACUCCCAACUCAUCACCCUCCCCCACUAAAAUGCCGGAAUAUACCCCUAAGCCCUAGAGACCAACCCCCAUUUUUCCAUUUCUCAUCUCUCAGCUCUCGUCAUUCACUCCCUGCUAAAGCCGCCGCAGGAAAUCACCCAUGGCAGUGACAUCACUCCAAAUAACCACACCACAAAUCAUUACCCUAUGACCACCGCACUUCCCUAAUCCUAAAUCACUUUCCAAUUUUCCCAAAUAAUCACCCAAACUACAUGAAUUCCAAAUCUAAGAAGUCAAGAAAACCUAGUUUGCUUUUCUUUUAAGAUUCUUUCUAAGUUCGGGCUUCUUUUUCGUUAUUACCUGAAUAAAUCGAAUACCUUCAGAGUUGAAUGAUGAUUAGUUUCAUGCAGUUAAUUGUCACAUGUGUUUGAUUAGCCAUAGACCCUCCCUUCUCUGCUUGGAACUGCAUUGUCUCAAGCGUUAGACUCCAUAGCCUUAAGGUAUCAUUUUGUAUUCAAUUCUCCGGUCAAGCUAGGAUCGUUAUAUUUACUUGCAACCAUUGUUUAUGCCAUUCGAGCAUGAAUCAGUGCUCGUGUGACAAUAUCGACCACUACUCAGAUUGUUUGAAACCAGUAGUGAUAUCAUCAAUGGGUAAUACUUUUUUUCCAUUCUUUCUUGGUCAUUUAGCUUAAUUGUCUAAUAUAUUGAUAGAUUGGUGUUUUGUUGUUUUACAUGAUAUAAUUUAGUUUUAGGUUAAUUACAACAUGUUUUAGCAUUAAUUUCAAUUACACUUAGUUGAUUUUAUUGAAAUUAUCAAUUGAAUUGCUUGCUUAAUGAUGCAUCAACCGUUGUUUCCACCUCAUUUCAAUUUGAUUCAUGCUUAGUUAUUGCAGGGUUUAGUCGAUUUAGAUUUUAGAAGCUGACAUACUUUGUUUGUUUGAAUCGUUCACUAGGUUAAAUUACAUAAUUAUCUUCCUCUGUUUUGGUUGUCCUAUUUUGUAAAUUAUUAGGAACUUAUUAACUGAAAUAAAGAAAUUUAGGCGGGUCUUUGAGGUAUUUUUGGAGAAUAAGAAUAUCUGGAAAAUUCGAAAAGCUUCUAGAAAGGGAUAGUUGUCCAAAAUUAUUAAUAAAAGAUGCUGAGAAACUGGACAACUGUCCAUUUUUCUAUUUUAAAAGAUGCCAAUUUCCUAAUUCUAAGGGAAGGCUGGCAGAUUCUCUUACUCUCUCUCUCCUUCCCAUCACAAGGGCACACACUUCAUACUUUAUAUAAAAGACCUCACAUUUCCUGAUCCUAGAUGUUAUUAUCUGCAUAUUCACUCUCAAAAGAACGAACACUUGGGUAGAAAAAGAGAGAGAUACACACACGAAAAUGACUUCAAAAAUACAAAAUUCUUCAUGACUUUGACAUUGAUUUUCUAUAUGAAAUUGAUGAAUGAAAUGUUGACUUCAUGACUAUGCCUAAGCAUGUGUGUUCAUUGUGUUUUAGUCAUUAGAUCCAUUAAUCCUUGCGGAAAUGUUAUGUGUUCAAGCUAAAAUCUAGACUGGAAUCAUCUUUUCCUUUGAGAAAAUUCUAGUUGUUGAUCCUGUGGUUAAUUGAUUGUUAAUUGGAUUUGCUUUAAGUAUAACUCAGAACUGAAAUUUUGUAACCUAGUUUAAGAUUCACUUGAUUAUAGCCUAUAUAGUAUCUAGGAGGCACUCCGAAAUCUUCAGUCUUCAAAGUUCGACCACCAGUUGGCCAUAUUUGAGAGGCCUUAGGUAGUGUUGAAAUGCAUUAGUUGAUAAUCUUGCCUUCCCAUGAGCAUUAAGGAGGAAUUUUGAAAUCAAAUAAAGGCAUUCUCUUAUUUUCUUUUAGCUGUUAAGUUUGUAUGUGAUAGAGAUAGUCAAUGGGAUGUAUUAACUAAUGUUUUGUCGUUUGCUACAAUCACUCUAUAAUUUUGAAAACAUCAUUUUGUUGUGUUUGAGUUUGUAAUUUCCACAACCCUUUGUUACAUGUUGAGUUUUUUAAAAGGCAACAAUGUUUACUAAUUUCUAAGAAUGUAUGAAAUUGGACUUUAAACUAUAAUAUUGUUAUCAUUGUUUGAUUGCUUUUCUAUUGUCGUUGGAUUUGUGAAAAAAGUUGUUACACCUCAUUUUUACCACCCAGGGUAUAUAAGGGAGUUUUUCUAAUUAAUGUGAUAUAAAUCGAAAAUGGAUUAUUUUUAUUUUUUUAUUUUUUCCAGAGACGCCACUUAGGACAAUUUAUUUGGUAUCCCAAGUCACUAGUUUAUUUUAUAUCAAAUAGAGAAAAUUUUCAACUUUAUUUAAAACUUUGCGAACCAGAAUGUGACGACCCGACAAGUCAUCUUAUGAGUUACUGUUGUUCCCCCAAUGUCUGCCACUUUUUGCCUAUUUAUCCGCAAUAUAUGGUAUCGGGUUGGUCCGAUCAAAUCCGGAAUGAUUUUGGUAAGGUUUAAGAUACUUCGUCUCUUUGUAGGAAGCUUAAGUUGGAAAAGUCAAUCGGAUGUUGAUUUAUGUAUCACAGGGCUUGGAUAUGAGUUCCAAUGGUUUGGAUAGCUCUGACAAGUCAAUUGGGACUUAGGAUCAUGAUCUGCACGAGUUUUGGAGGUUCAUAGUAGAUUUAUGCUUGAAUUGAAAAAGUUGAUAUUUUGGCGAUUUCGGUUGGAAGGCGACAUUAUGAUAUAGGGGUCGGAAUUUCAUUCCGAGAGUUGCAAUAGUUUUGUUGUGUCAUUUGAGAUAUAUGUGUGAAAUUCCAAGUUAUUCGGACGUGGUUUGGUGUGAUUUUUGAUCGAAAGUGGAAUUCCAAAGAUUUUGGAAUACUUAGGCUUGAAUCUGAUGUAGUUUGGUUUAUUUGAUAUUGUUUGAGCUAUUUUGAAGAUUUGUAUAAGUUUGAAUAAGGUUUUGGGGUAUGUUGGUGCCUUUUGGUUGAUAUCCCGGGGCCUUAGGCGAGUUUCAAAUGGUUGAUCGGACUAUUUCAUGCCUUGGAGAAUUGCAGGUUUUGGUUCAAUUGUUGUAGAGUUUUUACUCUGAGCGAUCGCUUAGGGAGUCUCGUGAUCACGUAGAGCUGUUGUGGGGGCAGUUCGUUUUGCUCAGUGCAUUCGCGAAGCUGGGGAUGCGAUCACAUAAGCUGAAGGCAUUGUUGACCGCGAACGUGUGGAGUGGGUCGCAUUCACGUAGAGUUAAGUGGACCAAGGGUCUAUGCUUGAUGUUUUUCACUGCGAACGUGGUAUCCAAUCUGCGAUCUCGUAGUGUUAGACGCCUGAGCAUCACGUUCGCAUAGGAUUUUACGCGUUCAAAUAAUGUUAAUUGUGGGAGCUGUAAAUUUAUACUUCGGGAUCGCGAAGGAUGUCCCCCAUUCACGUCGAAGGAAUUAAGGCCUCAGCAGAAGGUUUAGAAGGUCGUCUUGUCCGCAAAUGUGGGGUUUAUUUCUUUCAUUGUUGGUUGUUUUUGAAGCUUUUUAAAGGGGAUUGAAGAGGGAUUCAAGGGGAAUCACUUGGAGGUAAGAUUCUUAGACUUAAAACUCGAUUCUAAUGUGAAUUCCACCUAAAUAAUCAUGGAAAUGAAGCCAAAAAUUGAAGAACUAGUGCUUGGAAACUUAGACCUUUGCUUGAGAAUUUGAAGGACUAUUAUAGGUUAGAUCCGAGAACUUUUGAUAUAUAUGAACUCAAGGGGAGAUAAGGAACCUGUUGAUGUAAAAAUUAUUGAAUUUUGAGACGUGGGCCCGGGAUCGGGUUUUGGUAAUUUCGGAAUUUAUGUUGUAUUUUGAUUAUUUUCGCUUGGGCUUCGUUCCCUUAGCAUAUUUGACAUCCUCAUUCUGAUUUUGAUUUGAUUUGAUGCGAGUGGAGGUCGAUUAGAAGGGCAAAGGCAUCACGAGUUAGAGAUUUAAUCGGUUCGAGGCAAGUAAUGAUUUUAUAUGAUGUUCUAAGGAUUUGAAACCCCGAAUUGCACAUUGUAGUGCUAUAUUAAGGUGACGCACAUGCUAGAUGAAGAGAGUGGGGACGUGCACUAUUGGGGCUUGUGAUUUAGCCCGUCCCAAAUAAUUAUUUACCUCGUAUUUGACUAAAAUCUAAUUACUAUCAUCAGUAUAUGGGUUGAAUGCCAUAUUCGGGCCUCGUGCCAAUUAUUUGAACCUUUUCAGGGAUUUUUAAUGAUAUUUCCUUACUGUUUUGACUUUAUACUUGAACUCAGUCAUAUUAUUUUCACUAUUUCCAUACUCAACCAUAUUUACUUUGUUUUAAUACUUAAAUGAUCUUUUAAAUAAUAAUUCGGCUAAGGCUCACUAUUUUACUAUUGCCCGAGUGUCUUCUGAGGAUAUUUGAUUGAGUAAGGCUGAGGGCCUAUAUUAUGUGGAAACACUCAUCAUGAUCUGAGAUCGAGGGCUUGAGAUAUGUACGCCACGAGGUGGCUUGAUUGAUAUAAGGCCGAAAGCCUGGUGAUGACGCCACGGAAUGGCUUGAUAUUGUGCUUGGUCCAUACGGGGCCCCUCCAGGAGUCUGCACACCCCGAGUGAGCGCAGGUGGGACCCAUUAUGAUAUGAGAUUGAGCCUUAGCGGCUAAUAUUGUUCUGAGAUGUUGCCCAGGGGCAUAUUUGUUGAUAUUGUGCCCGAUGGGCAAACUUCUAUGUGAUUAUUUCUCCUUAAUUGCCUGUCAAUUAACUACUUAAAUGUUGAAAAAAGCCUUUUCAUGAAAUUUCAGUUGAGUUAAAGGAUGUUUUACCUAUCUUUUGCUGAUUUACUAAUUUUAAAUGAUUUUACCGCUUCAUUAUGGAAUAGUUUGUGCCUUAAAUUAUUUCUUGCUUUCAAUCUUUAUUUACGAUUGUUAUUCACUGAGUUGGAGUACAUACUUUACUCUCUGCACCCCGAAGCUCUUCCUUAUCUUAUUUCUUCAUGUUACUAACUUUUCUAUAUUAAACUUUGUUGGUUUCCCGAGUAUUCGGGUUGUGUUGGGUUAUUUUAUGUGACUAUGCAAUUAUCUAUUUAAACUCUAGUUAUUUAAUCGCGCUUUACACCGUUUCUUAAUGUUUAAAUAUUUAAAAUUGAAUUAGGAAUAGUUGGCUGGCCUUAUCUCCAUGAGAGGUGCCAUCAUGGCCGAUUCCGGGUUUAGGGUCGUGAGAAGUUGGUAUUAGAGCCUUAGUUACUUGGGUUUCACGAGUCAUGAGCAGGUUUAGUAGAGUCUCGUAGAUUGGUAUAGAGACUUCUGUAUUUAUUUUCGAGAGGAUGCAGAACCUUUAGGAAAUAUUCAUUUUCUUGAAAUUCUUGUCGUGCGAAUUUGUUGAUCCGAUUAUCAAACUUUUGUUAUUAUAUUCUCUCAAAGAUGGUGAGGUCACACGCUACUAGUCAGGAUGGACGACCACCAGUACCAGUUGUGUCCACUAGAGGCCAAGAAUGCGGUCAUGGUCACGGUAGGGGUAGAGGUGUGGCCUGCACAGCAGCUAGGGCAGCACCAGCAGAUCCACACGCCACCCCAGUUCAUGAUCAGGUCAGUUAUAGAUGCUCUAGAAUCACCAAUUCAGGCACCAGCUGCAUCUAUUGUGAUUCCGGGUCUUUAGGAGGUCUUGGCUUAGAUCCUAUCAAUUUGUACUGGCCUAGCUCAGGCGUUUUCAGCCACUACAGCUGCAAUUGCAUCGCAGUCCGGAGGAGGCAACCAAACUCCCGCCGCUCGCACACCUGAGCAGGUAGUGCAGGGACUUCAAAUGUCGGGGGCACAUCUAGCUCAGCCGGUUGUAGCUGCUCAUGACUAUGUAUUCCUUCCACGCUAGAGGAAGAUUAGCAUAGGUUGGAGAGGUUUGGCAAACUUCAACUGCCGACCUUCAGCGGUGCAGAGGGUAAGGAUGCCCACGGUUUCUUAGAUAUGUGUCUGAGGAUGCUUUGUACAAUAGGUAUUUUGGAGACUAGCGCAGUCGCUUUCACUACUUCAAUUUUCUUGCGCUGCCUUCACUUGGUGGGAGGAUUUUUAGAGGCGAAGGCCUGUUGGUGCAGCAUCCCUUACCUGGCAGAAAUUCUCCAUUCUCUUUCUGGAGAAGUAUGUGUCGUAUUCUCGGAGUGAGGAGCAAUGUAGACAAUUUGAGUGCUUACGUUAGUGGGAGAUGACCGUGUCGGAGUAUGAGUUGAGUUUCUCUUAGUUAGUUUUUCAUGCCAUCUGAGUUGUUCAGACAGAUAGAGAGAGUAUUAGGAGGUUCAUCUAUGGCCUCACCUAUCAGCUUCGUAUUCUCAUGAGCAGGGAGAGGGUGGAUGGUGCUACUUUCAAGGAGGUUGUGGAUAUUUCCCAUGAGAAUUAGUCUACUCGUCGUCAGAAGUGAGAUGAAAGGGAGGCCAAGAGGCCAUAAGGAUUUGGUAGUUAAAGUGGUGCUCAUUUGAGAGGUUAGUUUUAGCACGACAAAGGUCGUCCAUUCAAGAAUGCUCAGCCAGCUCGUCCAGGUUAUCAUUGGGUGUCAUCAGGUCAUGGUUCUGAUAGUUUUCAUCAGGGACAGUCAUCACUUAAUGCACUUCCAGCUUAGAGGUCGUCCCGUGCUCCAUCAAUUCAGGGUUCUUCUAAGUCAUGUGCAUCUGCUAGCUACUUCGGUGCGAGGGAUUCCCUUAAUUCCCCUUCUCUGUCAUCCGGGAGUUGUUAUAAGUGUUGAGAGAUGGGUCAUAUGUGGAGGCAGUGCCCUCGUCCCCUUGCGAGUUCAUUUCAGCAUAGGGGUCAGUCAUCGUCUUCAGUGCCAGUUAUUUCACCACCACCCGCCCAGCCAUCUAGAGGUGGAGGUCAGUCAGCUAGGGGUCGUCCGAGAGAAAGAGGUCGAUCAGGUGGCGAUCAGGACUAUUUCUAUGCACUUUCAGCUAGACCUGAUGCUAUUGCUUCAGAUGCUAUUAUCACAUGUAUUGUUUCAGUCUGCCGCAAAGAUGCCUCUGUAUUAUUUGAUCCUGGUUCCACAUUUUCUUAUGCGUCAUCAUACUUUGCUCGUUAUGUGGGUACGCCCCGUGAGUUCCUUGCUUCACCUAUUCAUGUAUCUACCCCGGUAGGCUGUACUAUUGUUGUAGACUAUGUGUACCAGUUGUGUGUCUAGAAACCUGUAUGGAACUUUUAUUAUUGAGUAUGGUGGAAUUGUCAUUCUAGGCAUGGAUAGGGUAUCUCUGUUCCGUGCUAUUCUGGACUGUCAAGCUAAGACAGUCAUAUUGGAUAUACCGGGUGUGCCAUAGAUUGAGUGGCGAGGUGUGAUUGAUUAUGUUACUAGUAGAGUGAUCUCAUUCUUAAAGGGCCAUCAUAUUGUUGGGAAGGGUAGUCUUUCAUAUCUAGCCUUUGUACGCGAUGUGGUGCUGAGACUCCUAGUAUUGACUCCAUUAAGUUUUGAGUGGUUUCCCCGAUGUGUUUCUUGCAGAACUGCCGAGUAUGCUACCAAACAAGGAUAUUGAUUUUUGGAUUGACUUGGUGCCGGGCAUUCAGCCUAUUUCUGUUUUUCCAUAUCGUAUAGCUCCAUCUGAGUUGAAGGAGUUAAAUGAGCAGCUUCAAGAACUCCUUGAUAAGGGGUUCAUUCAUCCUAGUGUGUCAUCUUUGGGUGCGCAGAUUCUAUUUAUGAAGAAGAAGGAUGGUACUAUGAGGUUUGCAUUGGUAAUAGGCAUUUGAACAAGGUAAAAAUUAAGAAUUAGUAUCCCUUGCCUCGCAUUGAUGAUUUAUUUGACAACCUUCAGGGGGCGAGAGUGUUCUCCAAGAUUGAUCUCCAUUAAGGUUAUAACUAGCUGAAGAUCAGGGACUUGGAUAUUCUUAUGAUGGCUUCCAAGACCCGAUAUGGUCAUUAUGAGUUUUUGGUGAAGUUUUGGGAUAACUAAUGCCCCGGCAUCGUUCAUGCAUUAGAGGAACAACACGUUUCGACCUUAUCUUGAUUCAUUUGUCAUAGUCUUCUUUGAUGAUAUUGUGUUGUAUUCACAUAGCCAGGAGGAGCAUGCACAUUUGAGAGUUGUAUUGCAGAGAUUGAGGGAGGAGAAGCUUUAUGCAAAAUUCUCCAAAUACGAGUUUCGGAUAAGUCCAGUGGCUUUCUUGGGGAAUGUGGUGUUCAACGAGGGUAUUCAGGUUGAUCAGAAGAAGAUAGAGGUGGUUAAAAGUUGGCCAAGUAUGUCCUCAGCCACAAAGAUUCGCAGCUUUCUUAGUUUGGCAGGCUAUCAUCACCGGUUUGUUCAGGGUGCUUCAUUUGUAUGGUCGGACGAGUUUGAGGAGAGCUUUCAGAAGCUCAAGACAGCCUUGACCAUAGCUGCAGUGUUGGUUUUGCCAUCGCCUUUAGGUUCAUAUGCCGUGUGUUAUGAUGCUUCAAGAGUUAGGAUUGGUUGUGUGUUGAUGCAGGAGGAUAUAGUUAUUUCUUACGCUUCUCAUCAGUUGAAGGCCCAUGAGAAGAACUACCCUAUUCAUGAUUUGGAGUUGGCUGCCAUAGUUCAUGCGUUAAAGAAUUAGAGACAUUACUUGUAUGGCAUGUCUUGUGAGUUAUUCAUUGAUCAUUAUUUUCUUCAGCACCGUUCAAGUAUAAGGAUCUCAAUUUGAGGCAGGAGAGCUGGUUGGACUUUCUUAAGGAUUAUGAUAUCACUAUAUUGUACCAUCCGGGGAAGGCCAAUGUGGUGGCCGAUGCUUUGAUCCAAAAGACGGUGAGUAUGGGGAGUUUGGCAUAUAUUCAAGUUGGGGAGAGACCUCUUACAGUUGAUAUUGAGGCCUUGGCCAACCGAUUUGUGAGGUUGAAUAUUUUGUAGCCCAAUCGACUAUUGGCUUGUGUGGUUUCUCGGUCAUCCUUAUAUGAUAGCAUCAGAGAGCACCAAUAUGAUGAUCUGCAUUUUCUUGUCCUUAAGGACAGAGUUAAGCAUGAUGAUCCCAUAGAUAUGACCAUUGGUGAUGAUGGGGUAUUGAGGAUGAAGGGCUGGAUUUGUGUGCCCAAUAUGGAUGGGCUUCAAGAGUUGAUUCUGGAAUAGACCCAUAGCUUGCGGUAUUCCACUCAUCUAGGUGUCGCGAAGUGUAUCAGAAUUUGAGGCACCACUAUUUAUGGAGAAGAAUUAAAAAAUAUAUAGUGGGAUUUGUUGCUUGGUGUCUCAAUAGCCAGCAAGUGAAAUAUGAGCAUCAGAGACUAGGUGGCUUACUUUUGCGGAUGGAUAUUCCAGAGAGGAAGUGGGAGAUGAUCACUAUGGACUUUGUUGUUGGACUUCAAUAGACAUUGAGAAAGUUUGAUUCUAUUUGGGUGAUCGUGGAUCGGCUGACGAAGUUUGCGCACUUCAUUCCUUUAUGCACUACCUAUUCUUCAGAGCGGUUGGCAGAGAUCUAAAUCCGGGAGAUUGUUCGUGUGCAUGUUGUACCCGUUUUCAUCAUUUCAGAUAGGGGCACGCAGUAUACAUCACAGUUUUUGAGGUGUAUGCAGCGAGAGUUAGGUACUCAGGUUGUGUUGAGCACAACAUUUCACCCUUAGGUAGACGCGUAGUCUGAGCGCACUAUUAAGAUAUUUUAGGACAUGUUGCGUGCUUGUGUCAUUGAUUUCAAAGGCUCAUGGGAUCAAUUUCUACCCCUUGCAGAGUAUGGUUAUAACAACAGCUACCAGUCGAGUAUUUAGAUGGCUCCAUAUUAGGCUUUGUAGGGGAGGCGAUGUAGAUCUUUAGUUGGUUGGUUCGAGCCCGGUGAAGGUGAUUCAGGAAAGGCUUCAUACAAGACAGUCGAGGCAAAAAAAUUAUGCUGACAGGAAGGUUCUAGAUGUGUCCUACGUGGUUGGAGAGAAGGUUCUGUUGAAGGUUUCGCCCAUGAAGGGUGAUAUGAGAUUUGGGAAGAAAGGGAAGUUGAUCUCCAGUUCAUUUGGCCAUUUGAGGUGCUUCAGAGGAUUGGGGAGGUGGCAUAUGAGCUUGCCUUGCCACCCAGUUUGUUGAGCGUGCAUUUGGUAAUUCAUAUUUCUAUGUUUUGGAAGUAUAUUGGGGAUUCUUCUCAUGUUCUAGAUUUUAGCACGGUUCAGUUUGAUGAUGAUUUGACCUAUGAUGUGGAGCCAGUAGCUAUUUUAGGUCGUCAUAUUUAAAAGGUAAAGUCAAAGGAUAUAGCUUUAGUGAAAGUGCAGUGAAGAAGUCGGCCCAUGGAGGAGGCUACCUAGGACAUCGAGCGGGAGAUACGGAGCAGAUAUUCGCACCUGUUCGAGGCUUCAGUUAUGUAACUAGACUCAUUCGAGGAUGACAUUUGUUUAAGUUGGAGAGGAUGUGACGACAAAGCCAGUCGUCUCAUGAGUUACUACCCCAUUUCCCCCAUUUCUGCAUCUUUAUGCUUUCUUUAUCCAUGUUAUGUGGUAUCGGGUUGGUCGGAUCGAAUCCAGAAUGAUUUUGGUAAGGUUUGGACAGUUAGUCUCUUUUGAGGAAGCUUAAGUUGGAAAAGUCAACCAGAUAUUUACUUAUGUGUUCGAGGUCUUGGAUUUGAGUUCCAAUGAUUCGGAUAGCUUUGGGAGGUGAUUUGGACUUAGGAGCGUGAUCGGAAUGAGUUUUGGAGGGUCAGAGUAUAUUUAGGCUUAAAUUAGUAAAGUUGAUAUUUUUGUUAUUUCUGAUUGGUAGGCGAGAUUUUGAUAUAAUGGUCAGAAUGGAAUUCCAAGAGUGGCAAUAGUUCUUUGUGUCAUUUGGGAUGUGUGUGCAAAAUUUCAAUUCAUUCGGACAUGGUUUGGUUUGUUUUUUGAUCAAAAGCAAAAUUCAAAAAUUUUUGGAAUUCUGAGGCUUGAAUCCGAUGUGUUUUGGUUGAUUUGAUAUUUUUUGAGGUGUUUUGAAUAUUGGUAAAAGUUUUAAUAUGGUUUUUCGGGAUAUGUGUCGUAUUUUGACUAUUUUUUCUUAGGCUUUGUUCCCUUAGCAUAUUUUCACGUCCUCGUUUUGAUUUUGGAUAGAUUCGACGCAGGUGGAGGCCAAUUCAAUGGGCAAAGGCAUCGUGAGUUAGAGAUUUAACUGGUUCGAGAGGGUAAUGAUUGUAAAUGAUGUUCUGAGGAUUUGAAUCCACAGAUUAGACAUGGUAGUGCCAUAUUGAGGUGACGCACAUGUUGGAUGAUGAGUGUGAGGUCGUGCACUGUUGGGGUUGUGACUUAAUCCGUACCAAAUGACUAUUUUAUCGCGUAUCUGACUGGAAUCUAAUUGCUUUGACUUUACACUUGAACUCCAUCAUUAUUUUUCCAAUGUUUCCAUACUCUGCCAUGUUUACUCUAUUUUAAUACUUAAAUGAUCUUUUACAUGAUAAUUGGGCUGAGGUUUGCUAUUUUACUAUGCCUGAGUGGCUUGUGAGGAUUUUUGACUGAGUAUGGCUGAGAGCAUAUAUUAUGAGGAAACACUAAUCAUGAUAUGAGAUCGAGGGCUUGAGAUAUGUACGCCACGAGGUGGCUUGAUUGCUAUGUGGCCAAAAGCCUAAUAAUGAUGCCACGAGAUGGUGUGAUAUUGCGCUUGGACGGUAAGGGUACCCUCCAGGAGUUUGCACACCCCCUGUGAGCGCGGGUCCAAUUAUGAAGUGAGAUUGAGCCCGAGGGGCUGGUAUUGUUCUGAGAUGUUUCCCGAGAGGGGAAUUGUUGAUAUUGUGCCCGAGAGGCGAACCUCUAUAUGUUUAUUUCACCUUAAUUAUCUUUCAAUUACCUGCUUAAUUGUUAAAAAAGGUCUUUUCAUGAAAUUUCAUCUAAGUUAAAGGAUUUGUUUACCUAUCUUUCACUGAUUUACUAUUUUAAAAUGGUUUUACUGCUUCAUUAUGGAAUGCUUUGUGCCUAAUGUGAUUUCAUACUUUCAGUCUUUAUUUACGAUUGUUACUUACUCAGCUGGAGUACUCACUUUACUCCCUGCACCUUGUGGGCAGACUCAGGCGUAGCAGGUCUCGCUCUCGAGUGCUGAUCAUUUCCAACCCAGGCGGAUUCGAGGAGUCACUAGGUAGCUGUUAAUGUUCACAGCCCAGAGCUCAUCCCUAUCUUAUUUGUUCAUGUUAUUAGUCUUCCUAUAUUAAAUUUAUGAUUUUCCCGAGUAUUCCGGAUUUGUUCGAUGCUCAUGACUAGUGACACACUGGUUUCGGACUGUGUUGGGUUAUUUUUAGUGAAGUAUGCUAUUAUCUACUUAAAAU